Molecule: small RNA, 85 nt
Filed under: Pseudomonas citronellolis
Lineage: Bacteria; Pseudomonadati; Pseudomonadota; Gammaproteobacteria; Pseudomonadales; Pseudomonadaceae
Description: t44 RNA
Rfam family: t44 RNA
About the family: This family consists of a number of bacterial RNA genes of between 135 and 170 bases in length.
Source: RNAcentral
CUAACCCACACAUGCAUCGACACGAUGACCUGGGUGCCCUGCGACGCGUUCGGGGGUUGGUCAUUGGGAUGCAUGGAGGCCCAAC